This 441-nucleotide ribosomal RNA is filed under the name uncultured bacterium. RNAcentral describes it as "partial 16S ribosomal RNA". It matches the Rfam family "Bacterial small subunit ribosomal RNA", at positions 339 to 795 of the family's 1533-position model. The record is from RNAcentral.
CUACGGGGCGCAGCAGUGGGGAAUAUUGGGCAAUGGGCGCAAGCCUGACCCAGCAACGCCGCGUGAGGGAAGAAGGUUUUCGGAUUGUAAACCUCUGUCCUUGGGGACGAAGAAGUGACGGUACCCAAGGAGGAAGCUCCGGCUAACUACGUGCCAGCAGCCGCAGUAAUACGUAGGGAGCAAGCGUUGUCCGGAAUUACUGGGCGUAAAGGGUGCGUAGGCGGCAUAUUAAGUCAGGUGUGAAAUACUCGGGCUCAACCCGGGGGCUGCAUUUGAAACUGAUAUGCUUGAGUGUGAGAGAGGAAAGUGGAAUUCCUAGUGUAGCGGUGGAAUGCGUAGAUAUUAGGAGGAACACCAGUGGCGAAGGCGACUUUCUGGCUCAUAACUGACGCUGAGGCACGAAAGCGUGGGGAGCAAACAGGAUUAGAUACCCGUGUAGUC